RNAcentral lists this transfer RNA (75 nucleotides) under Gammaproteobacteria bacterium. RNAcentral describes it as "tRNA-Val". It matches the Rfam family "tRNA". From Rfam's summary of the family: Transfer RNA (tRNA) molecules are approximately 80 nucleotides in length. Their secondary structure includes four short double-helical elements and three loops (D, anti-codon, and T loops). The record is from RNAcentral. Lineage: Bacteria; Pseudomonadati; Pseudomonadota; Gammaproteobacteria. RNAcentral also lists the same sequence under 5 other names.
GGGAGCAUAUUUCAGCGGUAGAAUAUUUCCUCGACAAGGAAAAGGUCACUGGUUCGAUCCCAGUUGCUCCCACCA